RNAcentral lists this long non-coding RNA (226 nucleotides) under Elaeis guineensis (African oil palm). RNAcentral describes it as "long non-coding RNA (EGUI_LNC022047)". The record is from RNAcentral. Lineage: Eukaryota; Viridiplantae; Streptophyta; Magnoliopsida; Arecales; Arecaceae.
GGUCCCUUGCCCUACCUCCCUUUUCCUUGUUCUUCCCCAGCCUCGCCUCCCUCUUCCCCCGAUCCCGUCUCCCUCGAUCCUGGCCUUCCCCGGCCCUGCCUCCCUCUUUCCCGACCUUGCCGCCCUCUUCCCUCGAGCCCACCUUGCUAGGCCUCGGCCUUCCCCGGCCCACCUCUCUCUUCCCUGGCCCCGCCUCCCUAUUCCCUCAGCCUCACCGUCGAUCCCC